RNAcentral lists this ribosomal RNA (253 nucleotides) under uncultured bacterium. RNAcentral's name for it is "partial 16S ribosomal RNA". It matches the Rfam family "Bacterial small subunit ribosomal RNA", at positions 524 to 776 of the family's 1533-position model. The record is from RNAcentral.
AACGUAGGUGGCAAGCGUUGUCCGGAAUUAUUGGGCGUAAAGAGCUCGUAGGCGGUCUGUCGCGUCGGCUGUGAAAACUCGGGGCUCAACCCCGAGCCUGCAGUCGAUACGGGCAGACUAGAGUGCUGUAGGGGAGACUGGAAUUCCUGGUGUAGCGGUGAAAUGCGCAGAUAUCAGGAGGAACACCGGUGGCGAAGGCGGGUCUCUGGGCAGUAACUGACGCUGAGGAGCGAAAGCGUGGGGAGCGAACAGG